Molecule: ribosomal RNA, 531 nt
Filed under: Fusarium culmorum
Lineage: Eukaryota; Fungi; Ascomycota; Sordariomycetes; Hypocreales; Nectriaceae
Description: eukaryotic LSU rRNA
Rfam family: 5.8S ribosomal RNA (bases 174-327)
Source: RNAcentral
UGGUGAACCAGCGGAGGGAUCAUUACCGAGUUUACAACUCCCAAACCCCUGUGAACAUACCUUAUGUUGCCUCGGCGGAUCAGCCCGCGCCCCGUAAAAAGGGACGGCCCGCCGCAGGAACCUUAAACUCUGUUUUUAGUGGAACUUCUGAGUAUAAAAAACAAAUAAAUCAAAACUUUCAACAACGGAUCUCUUGGUUCUGGCAUCGAUGAAGAACGCAGCAAAAUGCGAUAAGUAAUGUGAAUUGCAGAAUUCAGUGAAUCAUCGAAUCUUUGAACGCACAUUGCGCCCGCCAGUAUUCUGGCGGGCAUGCCUGUUCGAGCGUCAUUUCAACCCUCAAGCCCAGCUUGGUGUUGGGAGCUGCAGUCCUGCUGCACUCCCCAAAUACAUUGGCGGUCACGUCGAGCUUCCAUAGCGUAGUAAUUUACAUAUCGUUACUGGUAAUCGUCGCGGCCACGCCGUUAAACCCCAACUUCUGAAUGUUGACCUCGGAUCAGGUAGGAAUACCCGCUGAACUUAAGCAUAUCAAUA